GGGAAGUUGGCUCAGUGGUAGAGUGCUUGCCUUGCAUGCAUGAGGCCCUGGGUUCAAUUCCUCAGCACCUCA
RNAcentral lists this transfer RNA (72 nucleotides) under Dipodomys ordii (Ord's kangaroo rat). It matches the Rfam family "tRNA". Rfam says of the family: Transfer RNA (tRNA) molecules are approximately 80 nucleotides in length. Their secondary structure includes four short double-helical elements and three loops (D, anti-codon, and T loops). Further hydrogen bonds mediate the characteristic L-shaped molecular structure. tRNAs have two regions of fundamental functional importance: the anti-codon, which is responsible for specific mRNA codon recognition, and the 3' end, to which the tRNAs corresponding amino acid is attached (by aminoacyl-tRNA synthetases). tRNAs cope with the degeneracy of the genetic code in two manners: having more than one tRNA (with a specific anti-codon) for a particular amino acid; and 'wobble' base-pairing, i.e. permitting non-standard base-pairing at the 3rd anti-codon position. The record is from Rfam by way of RNAcentral. Lineage: Eukaryota; Metazoa; Chordata; Mammalia; Rodentia; Heteromyidae.